AUUUCUCUCCCUACCCAGAUCUCAUCGUUUUUUAUGUUUAGGAAUUUAUAAUUUUCUGCUUCUAAUAUGUUUAUUCUUGUUUGCAACGGACUGUUUUUUUGGGGGAAUUUGGUUUUAUUUUAUUUUAUUUUUUAUUUUUAAAUUGUUUCUGAAUCAUGGGGUUUUAAAGGUUUACGGACUGAAGAUAUGUGUCUUGUCUUUCUGGGUUUUUCAGUGUUUAUUGAUUUAUAGAGUUUGGAUCAGGUUCUAGCUUAAGAUUAUCCAUCAAUUGAUGAGGUUUUCAUGAUUUGCUUUUCAAUUAGAUAUUAAGACUAGUUUAGAUAACUUGCUGAGUUAACUGGGUUCUAAUUUCUAUAAGAUAAAGUGGUAAAAGAAAUUCUAUAUAAUAUAAUAGAGACAUUCUUUCAUCAGCUCAAUUAAUCUCAAGGAAGCCUAUGUUCUUAUCAUUUUAAGUUGAGUGUUGUCCUGGCCAUCUUGCAGCAAAUGUAGGGAAAAAAAAAAAAAAAAAAAAAAAAAAAAAAAAAAAAAAAAGAAAGUACUAAGUACAUGGUUUGGCCCUCCUAUAACCUUGAGGUGUGCUCUGAUCUUAUUUACUGUGAGAAAAUUGAGAAUAGCAGUACAAGCAUAAAAUUGCUCAAGUUUAAUCCCAAACCGAGGUCCUAAAAUCAUUGUAUGCCCCUCUCAACUCACUCUCUCAGUCCCAUAUAUAAAAAUAAGGCUCAAUUUCACUUGUAUAAAUGAUAGUCCCGGACUGCAUAUUUACAAUGUUCCUUUCGGUCUAGCUUCAUCAGAAAGCUUAUAUUAAAGUUAGAAUCCUCCACAAUUUUGUCACAUCCACCUUGAAGAUUACAUGGGAUGAUCACUUCUAGUGCACUUGCAGCUUUGCAUCUUCAUUUUAGAUGUUCAUCACCUGGAUACUUUACCAAUCUUAAAUUGUGCAAAAUAUUGAUCAAAUCCAAGAAGUGCUUGAACUUCUACUGACUUUGUCAACAUAUCAACUGCAUUGUUCUUAGUGUGGAUCUUCAGCAAUUUACCUUACUUUCAUCACAUCAUGAUAAAUUUGAUUUUUCACAUUGUAUGAUACUUUUUUAAGCCUCCUUGCUUUAUUCCCAAUUUAUCGACCAAACUUUUUGACCAAGUUCCGUAUGUAGCUUCCACUGUUGCCAUGUACUUCGCUUCAGUUGUUGAUAAAGCAACUGCUGAUAGAAGCAUAGCUUUCCAACUAAUAAGCCCACCGGCCCGCUUGUCCACAUCACCCGCAUAGUCUGCAUCAACAAAUCUCACAAACUGUUCUAUCGCAUAUUGCCUUUGGAAUAAGAUUCUGGUAUUCAUUGCACCUCUUAAGUACUUGAGGAUAAUGCUUUCACUUAUCAAAAAAAAAAAGUACUUGAGUAUAAUGCUUUUAAUGCUCCUUACGUAGAUUAGCCAUGUGGUUCCUCACAACAUUGAUUGCAUGUCAGGAUGUGACUUGUGAGAGAUUUGGCCAACUAAAAAACAUAGCAUGCAUUUCCUACUGCACUAGUAUGCGGUACACGACAUUUUCUCCACCUCAUUAUCUAUUUACAAACAUGAUCUAGAAGAUGACUAGUUGUAAACAUAUUGGUGAUACCGUGAUAAAACUGGUUUAAGUAUUUUAGGGUCUUCUAGCAUUUCUGUAAUCCUAAAUUGUUCAUGUUAAAAUGCUUCUUCUGCUGUGCAAUUUUCAAGAUCCAAAUUGCCUAUUUAUGAUGCUUCCUUACACCUAGCUUCCCUAGGAAGCAUUUAACUCAUACCAGAGUUGGAUUCUUCCAUAAGCAAUAAAUUAAAAACCAUAACACGGCUGGAAAAAAAAAAAAACAC
Long non-coding RNA from Cornus florida, 1839 nucleotides. RefSeq lists it as uncharacterized. The transcript has 2 exons. NCBI's taxonomy places the organism in Eukaryota, Viridiplantae, Streptophyta, Magnoliopsida, Cornales, Cornaceae. The record is from RefSeq and is a predicted model, not a curated record.